CUAAAACACUCUCCAAGGGUUC
RNAcentral lists this non-coding RNA (22 nucleotides) under Arabidopsis thaliana (thale cress). Lineage: Eukaryota; Viridiplantae; Streptophyta; Magnoliopsida; Brassicales; Brassicaceae. The record is from RNAcentral.